Molecule: ribosomal RNA, 453 nt
Filed under: uncultured Sphingobacteriales bacterium
Lineage: Bacteria; Pseudomonadati; Bacteroidota; Sphingobacteriia; Sphingobacteriales
Description: bacterial SSU rRNA
Rfam family: Bacterial small subunit ribosomal RNA
Source: RNAcentral
CGGAGGAGCAUGUGGUUUAAUUUCGAUGAUACGCGAGGAACCUUACCUGGGCUCGAACGUAAGAUGACUGUAGGUGAAAGCUUACAUCUCUUCGGAGCAUUUUACGAGGUGCUGCAUGGUUGUCGUCAGCUCGUGCCGUGAGGUGUCGGGUUAAGUCCCAUAACGAGCGCAACCCCUACCUUUAGUUGCCAUCAGGUUAAGCUGGGGACUCUAAAGGAACUGCCUACGCAAGUAGUGAGGGAGGCGGGGAUGACGUCAAAUCAGCACGGCCCUUACGUCCAGGGCUACACACGUGCUACAAUGGCCGAUACAGAGGGCAGCUACCUGGUGACAGGAUGCAAAUCUCCAAAGUCGGUCUCAGUUCGGAUCGGAGUCUGCAACCCGACUCCGUGAAGUUGGAUUCGCUAGUAAUCGCGCAUCAGCCAUGGCGCGGUGAAUACGUUCCCGGGCCUU